Molecule: ribosomal RNA, 405 nt
Filed under: uncultured bacterium
Lineage: Bacteria
Description: partial 16S ribosomal RNA
Rfam family: Bacterial small subunit ribosomal RNA
Source: RNAcentral
GACGAACGCUGGCGGCGUGCUUAACACAUGCAAGUCGAGCGGAGCGGCGAACGGGUGAGUAACGCGUGAGUAACUGCCCCCCUCUCUGGGAUAACAGUUGGAAACGGCUGCUAAUACCGGAUAGUGGGGGAUGACUCGCGUCCUAUCAGCUUGUUGGUUGGGUAGUGGCAUACCAAGUGGACGACGUGUAGCCGGCCUUAGAGGGCGACCGGCCACAUUGGGCAUAGAUACGGCCCAAACUCCUACGGUAGGCAGCAGUGGGGAUUAUUGCACAAUGGGGGAAACUCUGAUGCAGCAACGCCGCGUGCGGGAUGACGGCCUUCGGGUUGUAAACCGCUUUCAGCCAUUACGCGGUAGUGGCAGAAUAAUCACCGGCUAACUACGUGCCAGCAGCCGCGGUAAUUC